UACGGAGGGUGCAAGCGUUAUCCGGAUUCACUGGGUUUAAAGGGUGCGUAGGUGGCGUGGUAAGUCGGGUGUGAAAUUUCGGAGCUUAACUCCGAAACUGCAUUCGAUACUGCUGUGCUUGAGGACUGGAGAGGAGACUGGAAUUUACGGUGUAGCAGUGAAAUGCGUAGAGAUAGUAAGGAAGACCAGUGGCGAAGGCGGGUCUCUGGACAGUUCCUGACACUGAGGCACGAAGGCCAGGGGAGCAAACGGG
RNAcentral lists this ribosomal RNA (253 nucleotides) under uncultured bacterium. RNAcentral describes it as "partial 16S ribosomal RNA". It matches the Rfam family "Bacterial small subunit ribosomal RNA", at positions 524 to 776 of the family's 1533-position model. The record is from RNAcentral.